GCGCUUGACGAUGAGGAUCUUGUCUCCUACAUCCUUGCCAGCCUCAACUUUGACUGCAACUCAGUGGUUCCAUCUGUUGCCAGGCGCACCAAUCCAAUCUCGGUGAAUGAGCUAUAUGGAUUUCUGGUGGGCUUUGAGU
RNAcentral lists this small nucleolar RNA (139 nucleotides) under Oryza punctata. RNAcentral's name for it is "Small nucleolar RNA Z247". It matches the Rfam family "Small nucleolar RNA Z247". From Rfam's summary of the family: Z247 is a member of the C/D class of snoRNA which contain the C (UGAUGA) and D (CUGA) box motifs. Most of the members of the box C/D family function in directing site-specific 2'-O-methylation of substrate RNAs. Lineage: Eukaryota; Viridiplantae; Streptophyta; Magnoliopsida; Poales; Poaceae. The record is from Rfam by way of RNAcentral.